CUCUCCUGCUUCCUGCACCCUUGAGAUAACCUUGGACCCAGCCAUGCAAAGAUGAAUCUAACCCAACCAACUAAAGAGGAAAAGGCAAAAUCUGGGCUCUGAUAGACAUUGUUUCUAGAAGACGGACAGGACCUGGGUGCCAGUCCACACCAAUCCACAGUGGAAUACAGCUCCUCAUAAACCUCUCUGUUGGGAGAAACUCAAAGUCGUCACAAAGCAACCUCAACCAAGUCAGGCGAUGGAUCUCAGAGAAGGUUUAGGAACCACACUUGAGAUUCACUGGAGUUUCUUAACUCAAAGGAAGACAGGGAGCGGGGAAAUGGGUGCCUUCACCUGACUCAUAAGAACCAGUAAGCCAGAGCCCUACCUAAUACUGUGUGUGACAGGAGGAGCCCCAGCCACUGGGACAACCACAUCUGGAGGACACAACACAGGAGAGGUCCCAGCUGCUUCCUGAGGGAGACCUUACUGUUGACUGUCCGCACCCUUGUGCCAUGAUGCCAGACUGCUGUCUCAGUGAUGUUUCCAUUUCAGGCACAGCAAACAUGUGUAAAUACUUUAUUAAAAAAUUUUUAAAGCCCAACACAUGAAGUGAAA
Molecule: long non-coding RNA, 597 nt
Filed under: Chinchilla lanigera (long-tailed chinchilla)
Lineage: Eukaryota; Metazoa; Chordata; Mammalia; Rodentia; Chinchillidae
Description: lncRNA (ENSCLAG00000023428.1)
Source: RNAcentral